Molecule: ribosomal RNA, 998 nt
Filed under: uncultured bacterium
Lineage: Bacteria
Description: bacterial SSU rRNA
Rfam family: Bacterial small subunit ribosomal RNA
Source: RNAcentral
UGGGGGAUAUUGCGCAAUGGGGGAAACCCUGACGCAGCAACGCCGCGUGAAGGAAGAAGGUCUUCGGAUUGUAAACUUCUUUUGUCAGGGACGAAGAAAGUGACGGUACCUGACGAAUAAGCUCCGGCUAACUACGUGCCAGCAGCCGCGGUAAUACGUAGGGAGCGAGCGUUGUCCGGAUUUACUGGGUGUAAAGGGUGCGUAGGCGGCCGAGCAAGUCAGUUGUGAAAUCUAUGGGCUCAACCCAUAAACUGCAUUUGAAACUGUAGAGCUUGAGUGAAGUAGAGGCAGGCGGAAUUCCCCGUGUAGCGGUGAAAUGCGUAGAGAUGGGGAGGAACACCAGUGGCGAAGGCGGCCUGCUGGGCUUUAACUGACGCUGAGGCACGAAAGCGUGGGUAGCAAACAGGAUUAGAUACCCUGGUAGUCCACGCUGUAAACGAUGAUUACUAGGUGUUGGAGGAUUGACCCCUUCAGUGCCGCAGUUAACACAAUAAGUAAUCCACCUGGGGAGUACGACCGCAAGGUUGAAACUCAAAGGAAUUGACGGGGGCCCGCACAAGCAGUGGAGUAUGUGGUUUAAUUCGACGCAACGCGAAGAACCUUACCAAGUCUUGACAUCCGUUGACCGACAUAGAAAUAUGUUUUUCCUUCGGGACAGCGAGACAGGUGGUGCAUGGUUGUCGUCAGCUCGUGUCGUGAGAUGUUGGGUUAAGUCCCGCAACGAGCGCAACCCUUAUGGUCAGUUACUACGCAAGAGGACUCUGGCCAGACUGCCGUUGACAAAACGGAGGAAGGUGGGGAUGACGUCAAAUCAUCAUGCCCUUUAUGACUUGGGCUACACACGUACUACAAUGGCGUUAAACAAAGAGAAGCAAGACCGCGAGGUGGAGCAAAACUCAGAAACAACGUCCCAGUUCGGACUGCAGGCUGCAACUCGCCUGCACGAAGUCGGAAUUGCUAGUAAUCGUGGAUCAGCAUGCCACGGUGAAUACGUUCCC